Molecule: long non-coding RNA, 229 nt
Filed under: Salvia miltiorrhiza (redroot sage)
Lineage: Eukaryota; Viridiplantae; Streptophyta; Magnoliopsida; Lamiales; Lamiaceae
Description: long non-coding RNA (SMIL_LNC009082)
Source: RNAcentral
UCACCGGGGAAAUAAAAAGAAUUUCAGAUGCAAAGAUUUGAGUUUUGGUGUUUUGAGUUUCUGAAAUUAUGCUGAGUUGUCUUCUGUCAAGGAUCUAAGAAUAGCACAUCGAGACCUAUUUGAGAAUAGAUUUCUGGUAGGUUCGAGUAACCAAGAGCAGUAGAGCUUCAAGCAAAGCAAGCACUGAAUCUUCACUUCGAGGUGGGCUUUAUUUUGCUAAAAUCUAUUU